AACACGAAGUGAGUGGCGGACGGGUGAGUAACACGUGGGUAACCUGCCCAGAAGCAGGGGAUAACACCUGGAAACAGAUGCUAAUACCGUAUAACAGAGAAAACCGCCUGGUUUUCUUUUAAAAGAUGGCUCUGCUAUCACUUCUGGAUGGACCCGCGGCGCAUUAGCUAGUUGGUGAGGUAACGGCUCACCAAGGCGAUGAUGCGUAGCCGACCUGAGAGGGUAAUCGGCCACAUUGGGACUGAGACACGGCCCAGACUCCUACGGGAGGCAGCAGUAGGGAAUCUUCCACAAUGGACGCAAGUCUGAUGGAGCAACGCCGCGUGAGUGAAGAAGGGUUUCGGCUCGUAAAGCUCUGUUGUUAAAGAAGAACGUGGGUGAGAGUAACUGUUCACCCAGUGACGGUAUUUAACCAGAAAGCCACGGCUAACUACGUGCCAGCAGCCGCGGUAAUACGUAGGUGGCAAGCGUUAUCCGGAUUUAUUGGGCGUAAAGCGAGCGCAGGCGGUCUUUUAAGUCUAAUGUGAAAGCCUUCGGCUCAACCGAAGAAGUGCAUUGGAAACUGGGAGACUUGAGUGCAGAAGAGGACAGUGGAACUCCAUGUGUAGCGGUGAAAUGCGUAGAUAUAUGGAAGAACACCAGUGGCGAAGGCGGCUGUCUGGUCUGUAACUGACGCUGAGGCUCGAAAGCAUGGGUAGCGAACAGGAUUAGAUACCCUGGUAGUCCAUGCCGUAAACGAUGAUUACUAAGUGUUGGAGGGUUUCCGCCCUUCAGUGCUGCAGCUAACGCAUUAAGUAAUCCGCCUGGGGAGUACGACCGCAAGGUUGAAACUCAAAAGAAUUGACGGGGGCCCGCACAAGCGGUGGAGCAUGUGGUUUAAUUCGAAGCUACGCGAAGAACCUUACCAGGUCUUGACAUCUUCUGCCAACCUAAGAGAUUAGGCGUUCCCUUCGGGGACAGAAUGACAGGUGGUGCAUGGUUGUCGUCAGCUCGUGUCGUGAGAUGUUGGGUUAAGUCCCGCAACGAGCGCAACCCUUAUUACUAGUUGCCAGCAUUCAGUUGGGCACUCUAGUGAGACUGCCGGUGACAAACCGGAGGAAGGUGGGGACGACGUCAAAUCAUCAUGCCCCUUAUGACCUGGGCUACACACGUGCUACAAUGGAUGGUACAACGAGUCGCGAAACCGCGAGGUUUAGCUAAUCUCUUAAAACCAUUCUCAGUUCGGACUGUAGGCUGCAACUCGCCUACACGAAGUCGGAAUCGCUAGUAAUCGCGGAUCAGCAUGCCGCGGUGAAUACGUUCCCGGGCCUUGUACACACCG
RNAcentral lists this ribosomal RNA (1321 nucleotides) under Pediococcus acidilactici. Its description in RNAcentral is "bacterial SSU rRNA". It matches the Rfam family "Bacterial small subunit ribosomal RNA", at positions 83 to 1392 of the family's 1533-position model. The record is from RNAcentral. Lineage: Bacteria; Bacillati; Bacillota; Bacilli; Lactobacillales; Lactobacillaceae.